AUUGAACGCUGGCGGCAGGCUUAACACAUGCAAGUCGAGCGGAAACGAUGGGAGCUUGCUCCCAGGCGUCGAGCGGCGGACGGGUGAGUAACACUUAGGAAUCUACCUAGUAGUGGGGGAUAGCUCGGGGAAACUCGAAUUAAUACCGCAUACGUCCUACGGGAGAAAGGGGGCAACUUGUUGCUCUCGCUAUUAGAUGAGCCUAAGUCGGAUUAGCUAGUUGGUGGGGUAAAGGCCUACCAAGGCGACGAUCUGUAGCUGGUCUGAGAGGAUGAUCAGCCACACCGGGACUGAGACACGGCCCGGACUCCUACGGGAGGCAGCAGUGGGGAAUAUUGGACAAUGGGGGCAACCCUGAUCCAGCCAUGCCGCGUGUGUGAAGAAGGCCUUUUGGUUGUAAAGCACUUUAAGCAGUGAAGAAGACCAUAUGGUUAAUACCCAUAUGCGAUGACAUUAGCUGCAGAAUAAGCACCGGCUAACUCUGUGCCAGCAGCCGCGGUAAUACAGAGGGUGCAAGCGUUAAUCGGAAUUACUGGGCGUAAAGCGAGCGUAGGCGGCUUGAUAAGUCAGAUGUGAAAUCCCCGGGCUUAACCUGGGAACUGCAUCUGAUACUGUCAGGCUAGAAUAGGUGAGAGGAAGGUAGAAUUCCAGGUGUAGCGGUGAAAUGCGUAGAGAUCUGGAGGAAUACCGAUGGCGAAGGCAGCCUUCUGGCAUCAUAUUGACACUGAGGUUCGAAAGCGUGGGUAGCAAACAGG
This 755-nucleotide ribosomal RNA is filed under the name uncultured bacterium. RNAcentral describes it as "bacterial SSU rRNA". It matches the Rfam family "Bacterial small subunit ribosomal RNA", at positions 28 to 776 of the family's 1533-position model. The record is from RNAcentral.